RNAcentral lists this ribosomal RNA (1354 nucleotides) under uncultured soil bacterium. Its description in RNAcentral is "bacterial SSU rRNA". It matches the Rfam family "Bacterial small subunit ribosomal RNA", at positions 28 to 1381 of the family's 1533-position model. The record is from RNAcentral.
GAUGAACGCUAGCGGGAGGCUUAACACAUGCAAGUCGAGGGGCAGCACGGGGUAGCAAUACUCUGGUGGCGACCGGCGCACGGGUGAGUAACGCGUAUGCAACCUACCCUGUACAGGGGGAUAGCCCGGAGAAAUUCGGAUUAAUACCCCAUAAUGAUAUUGAGAGGCAUCUUUUAAUAUUUAAAGUUUCGACGGUACGGGAUGGGCAUGCGUGACAUUAGCUAGUUGGUAGGGUAACGGCCUACCAAGGCUUCGAUGUCUAGGGGUCCUGAGAGGGUGAUCCCCCACACUGGUACUGAGACACGGACCAGACUCCUACGGGAGGCAGCAGUGAGGAAUAUUGGUCAAUGGACGUAAGUCUGAACCAGCCAUCCCGCGUGCAGGAAGAAGGCGCUAUGCGUCGUAAACUGCUUUUCCAGGGGAAGAAAACCCGUUACGUGUAGCGGCUUGCCGGUACCCUGGGAAUAAGCAUCGGCUAACUCCGUGCCAGCAGCCGCGGUAAUACGGAGGAUGCGAGCGUUAUCCGGAUUUAUUGGGUUUAAAGGGUGCGUAGGCGGAUUAAUAAGUCAGCGGUGAAAACCUUCAGCUUAACUGGAGACUUGCCAUUGAUACUGUUAGUCUUGAGUACGGUCAAGGUAGGCGGAAUGUGUAAUGUAGCGGUGAAANNNNNAGAUAUGGCACAGAACACCAAUUGCGAAGGNAGCUUACUAAGGCGAUACUGACGCUGAGGCACGAAAGCGUGGGGAUCGAACAGGAUUAGAUACCCUGGUNNUCCACGCCGUAAACGAUGAUCACUCGUCAUUGGCGAUAUACGGUCAGUGACCUAGCGAAAGCGUUAAGUGAUCCACCUGGGGAGUACGAUCGCAAGAUUGAAACUCAAAGGAAUUGACGGGGGCCCGCACAAGCGGUGGAGCAUGUGGUUUAAUUCGAUGAUACGCGAGGAACCUUACCAGGGCUCGAACGUACGUUGACAGUCGCGGAAACGUGAUCUUCUUCGGACAACGUGCGAGGUGCUGCAUGGCUGUCGUCAGCUCGUGCCGUGAGGUGUCGGGUUAAGUCCCAUAACGAGCGCAACCCCCAUUUCUAGUUGCCAGCGGGUAAUGCCGGGGACUCAAGAGAAACUGCCCGUGUAAACGGUGAGGAAGGUGGGGACGACGUCAAGUCAUCACGGCCCUUACGUCCUGGGCUACACACGUGCUACAAUGGCGAGUACAGAGGGAAGCUACUGGGUGACCAGAUGCAGAUCUUCAAAACUCGUCUCAGUUCGGAUCGGAGUCUGCAACCCGACUCCGUGAAGCUGGAAUCGCUAGUAAUCGCAUAUCAGCCAUGAUGCGGUGAAUACGUUCCCGGGCCU